CUACACACGUGCUACAAUGGGCGAGUACAAAGGGUAGCAAGCCUGCGAAGGUGAGUCAAAUCCCAAAAAGACUGUUCGUAGUUCGGAUUGGAGUCUGCAACUCGACUCCAUGAAGCUGGAAUCGCUAGUAAUCGCGGAUCAGCAUGCCGCGGUCGAAUACGUUCCGGCCUU
Molecule: ribosomal RNA, 171 nt
Filed under: uncultured Desulfobacterium sp.
Lineage: Bacteria; Pseudomonadati; Thermodesulfobacteriota; Desulfobacteria; Desulfobacterales; Desulfobacteriaceae
Description: partial 16S ribosomal RNA
Rfam family: Bacterial small subunit ribosomal RNA
Source: RNAcentral